RNAcentral lists this microRNA (21 nucleotides) under Leucosolenia complicata. Its description in RNAcentral is "lco-miR-7642-3p". Lineage: Eukaryota; Metazoa; Porifera; Calcarea; Leucosolenida; Leucosoleniidae. The record is from miRBase by way of RNAcentral.
UGGACGUGCCGUCACAGGAUG